Molecule: ribosomal RNA, 460 nt
Filed under: uncultured bacterium
Lineage: Bacteria
Description: bacterial SSU rRNA
Rfam family: Bacterial small subunit ribosomal RNA
Source: RNAcentral
UAGUCCACGCUGUAAACGAUGAGAACUAGACGUUGGGUGGAUAACCGCUCGGUGUCGUAGCUAACGUGUUAAGUUCUCCGCCUGGGGAGUACGACCGCAAGGUUGAAACUCAAAGGAAUUGACGGGGGCCCGCACAAGCGGUGGAGCAUGUGGUUUAAUUCGAUGCAACGCGAAGAACCUUACCUGCCCUUGACAUCCUGGGAAGGUCCUAGAGAUAGGACUGUGCCUUCGGGAACCCAGUGACAGGUGCUGCAUGGCUGUCGUCAGCUCGUGUCGUGAGAUGUUGGGUUAAGUCCCGCAACGAGCGCAACCCUUGUCCUUAGUUGCCAGCGGUUCGGCCGGGAACUCUAGGGAGACUGCCGGUGAUAAACCGGAGGAAGGUGGGGAUGGACGUCAAGUCAUCAUGGGCCCUUACGGGGCAGGGGCUACACACGUGCUACAAUGGACGGUACAAAGAGUU